RNAcentral lists this ribosomal RNA (716 nucleotides) under Vibrio tubiashii. Its description in RNAcentral is "bacterial SSU rRNA". It matches the Rfam family "Bacterial small subunit ribosomal RNA", at positions 801 to 1533 of the family's 1533-position model. Lineage: Bacteria; Pseudomonadati; Pseudomonadota; Gammaproteobacteria; Vibrionales; Vibrionaceae. The record is from RNAcentral.
AGACGUCGAUGUCUACUUGGAGGUUGUGGCCUUGAGCCGUGGCUUUCGGAGCUAACGCGUUAAGUAGACCGCCUGGGGAGUACGGUCGCAAGAUUAAAACUCAAAUGAAUUGACGGGGGCCCGCACAAGCGGUGGAGCAUGUGGUUUAAUUCGAUGCAACGCGAAGAACCUUACCUACUCUUGACAUCCAGAGAACUUUCCAGAGAUGGAUUGGUGCCUUCGGGAACUCUGAGACAGGUGCUGCAUGGCUGUCGUCAGCUCGUGUUGUGAAAUGUUGGGUUAAGUCCCGCAACGAGCGCAACCCUUAUCCUUGUUUGCCAGCGAGUAAUGUCGGGAACUCCAGGGAGACUGCCGGUGAUAAACCGGAGGAAGGUGGGGACGACGUCAAGUCAUCAUGGCCCUUACGAGUAGGGCUACACACGUGCUACAAUGGCGCAUACAGAGGGCGGCCAACUUGCGAAAGUGAGCGAAUCCCAAAAAGUGCGUCGUAGUCCGGAUUGGAGUCUGCAACUCGACUCCAUGAAGUCGGAAUCGCUAGUAAUCGUGGAUCAGAAUGCCACGGUGAAUACGUUCCCGGGCCUUGUACACACCGCCCGUCACACCAUGGGAGUGGGCUGCAAAAGAAGUAGGUAGUUUAACCUUCGGGGGGACGCUUACCACUUUGUGGUUCAUGACUGGGGUGAAUCUAAAAGGGGGGGCCCCAAAAGGGCGAAAAA